CAAAUCCUAAACUCUUCUUCUUAUUUCUGCAACUAGGCCCGCCGUCACUCCACACAUUCUUCGCCCUCUCGACAACUUAGGAAUUUGGAUGAGGGAAAUCUGAUGUUGGCAUGAGAAUGAGAUGAUGAUCAUGAUUUUAUUUCCCUAUUGGUUUGAUCGCCUAUAUGAUGGCAUUUGUAUUAGCUCUAUCUGAUCAUUCUCUUUAAAUCCAACCAUCUUGUUUGUUUAUCUUUACAUUGUUCUGUUUAUUCUUAAAUGCUCUGUCUUUUAGAAUAUUAUGCAAUAUUUCUGGCUUUUGCAUCAUGGACGGAUCAUGGAUUAGGGUGCGAAAGUAUGUUUGGGGCCUUAUAAUUUUAAAUUAUUUUAAAAUUUUCAGUAUAA
This is a non-coding RNA of Camellia sinensis, 381 nucleotides long. The record is from RefSeq and is a predicted model, not a curated record. NCBI's taxonomy places the organism in Eukaryota, Viridiplantae, Streptophyta, Magnoliopsida, Ericales, Theaceae.